This 253-nucleotide ribosomal RNA is filed under the name uncultured bacterium. RNAcentral's name for it is "partial 16S ribosomal RNA". It matches the Rfam family "Bacterial small subunit ribosomal RNA", at positions 524 to 776 of the family's 1533-position model. The record is from RNAcentral.
UACAGAGGUCUCAAGCGUUGUUCGGAUUCAUUGGGCGUAAAGGGUGCGUAGGCGGCGCGGUAAGUCGGGUGUGAAAUCUUGGAGCUUAACUCCGAAACUGCAUUCGAUACUGCCGUGCUUGAGGACUGGAGAGGAGACUGGAAUUUACGGUGUAGCGGUGAAAUGCGUAGAUAUCUGGAGGAACACCGGUGGCGAAGGCGGCGUCCUGGACCAACACUGACACUGAUGAGCGAAAGCCAGGGGAGCAAACGGG